Molecule: ribosomal RNA, 1605 nt
Filed under: Salmonella enterica
Lineage: Bacteria; Pseudomonadati; Pseudomonadota; Gammaproteobacteria; Enterobacterales; Enterobacteriaceae
Also listed under: 2 other names
Description: bacterial LSU rRNA
Rfam family: Bacterial large subunit ribosomal RNA
Source: RNAcentral
UGGGUAGGGGAGCGUUCUGUAAGCCUGUGAAGGUGGCCUGUGAGGGUUGCUGGAGGUAUCAGAAGUGCGAAUGCUGACAUAAGUAACGAUAAAGCGGGUGAAAAGCCCGCUCGCCGGAAGACCAAGGGUUCCUGUCCAACGUUAAUCGGGGCAGGGUGAGUCGACCCCUAAGGCGAGGCCGAAAGGCGUAGUCGAUGGGAAACAGGUUAAUAUUCCUGUACUUGGUGUUACUGCGAAGGGGGGACGGAGAAGGCUAUGUUGGCCGGGCGACGGUUGUCCCGGUUUAAGCGUGUAGGUGUGUGUUCCAGGUAAAUCCGGUUCACUUUAACACUGAGGCGUGAUGACGAGGCACUACGGUGCUGAAGCAACAAAUGCCCUGCUUCCAGGAAAAGCCUCUAAGCAUCAGGUAACAUCAAAUCGUACCCCAAACCGACACAGGUGGUCAGGUAGAGAAUACCAAGGCGCUUGAGAGAACUCGGGUGAAGGAACUAGGCAAAAUGGUGCCGUAACUUCGGGAGAAGGCACGCUGACACGUAGGUGAAGUGAUUUACUCAUGGAGCUGAAGUCAGUCGAAGAUACCAGCUGGCUGCAACUGUUUAUUAAAAACACAGCACUGUGCAAACACGAAAGUGGACGUAUACGGUGUGACGCCUGCCCGGUGCCGGAAGGUUAAUUGAUGGGGUCAGCGCAAGCGAAGCUCCUGAUCGAAGCCCCGGUAAACGGCGGCCGUAACUAUAACGGUCCUAAGGUAGCGAAAUUCCUUGUCGGGUAAGUUCCGACCUGCACGAAUGGCGUAAUGAUGGCCAGGCUGUCUCCACCCGAGACUCAGUGAAAUUGAACUCGCUGUGAAGAUGCAGUGUACCCGCGGCAAGACGGAAAGACCCCGUGAACCUUUACUAUAGCUUGACACUGAACAUUGAGCCUUGAUGUGUAGGAUAGGUGGGAGGCUUUGAAGCGUGGACGCCAGUCUGCGUGGAGCCGACCUUGAAAUACCACCCUUUAAUGUUUGAUGUUCUAACGUGGACCCGUAAUCCGGGUUGCGGACAGUGUCUGGUGGGUAGUUUGACUGGGGCGGUCUCCUCCUAAAGAGUAACGGAGGAGCACGAAGGUUGGCUAAUCCUGGUCGGACAUCAGGAGGUUAGUGCAAUGGCAUAAGCCAGCUUGACUGCGAGCGUGACGGCGCGAGCAGGUGCGAAAGCAGGUCAUAGUGAUCCGGUGGUUCUGAAUGGAAGGGCCAUCGCUCAACGGAUAAAAGGUACUCCGGGGAUAACAGGCUGAUACCGCCCAAGAGUUCAUAUCGACGGCGGUGUUUGGCACCUCGAUGUCGGCUCAUCACAUCCUGGGGCUGAAGUAGGUCCCAAGGGUAUGGCUGUUCGCCAUUUAAAGUGGUACGCGAGCUGGGUUUAGAACGUCGUGAGACAGUUCGGUCCCUAUCUGCCGUGGGCGCUGGAGAACUGAGGGGGGCUGCUCCUAGUACGAGAGGACCGGAGUGGACGCAUCACUGGUGUUCGGGUUGUCAUGCCAAUGGCACUGCCCGGUAGCUAAAUGCGGAAGAGAUAAGUGCUGAAAGCAUCUAAGCACGAAACUUGCCCCGAGAUGAGUUCU